RNAcentral lists this transfer RNA (92 nucleotides) under Fidelibacterota bacterium. RNAcentral's name for it is "tRNA-Sec". It matches the Rfam family "Selenocysteine transfer RNA". The record is from RNAcentral. RNAcentral also lists the same sequence under 1 other name. Lineage: Bacteria; Pseudomonadati; Fidelibacterota.
GGAAGCGAAUGUGUCCCUGGUGGGUACCGCGGUCUUCAAAGCCGUUGUGUGGCAGUGAUGUCAUAGGUGGAUUCGAUUUCCACACGCUUCCG